UACGUAGGGUGCGAGCGUUGUCCGGAAUUAUUGGGCGUAAAGAGCUCGUAGGCGGUUUGUUGCGUCGGCCGUGAAAACCUGCAGCUUAACUGUGGGCCUGCGGCCGAUACGGGCAGACUUGAGUUCGGUAGGGGAGACUGGAAUUCCUGGUGUAGCGGUGAAAUGCGCAGAUAUCAGGAGGAACACCGGUGGCGAAGGCGGGUCUCUGGGCCGAUACUGACGCUGAGGCGCGAAAGCGUGGGGAGCGAACAGG
RNAcentral lists this ribosomal RNA (253 nucleotides) under uncultured bacterium. RNAcentral's name for it is "partial 16S ribosomal RNA". It matches the Rfam family "Bacterial small subunit ribosomal RNA", at positions 524 to 776 of the family's 1533-position model. The record is from RNAcentral.